GUGAGAUACCGUCAUAACGAUGAAGCUUCUAGCUUGCUAGGCGGAUUAGUGGCGCACGGGUGAGUAACGCAUAGAUGACAUGCCCUUUAGUUUGGGAUAGCCACUAGAAAUGGUGAUUAAUACCAAAUACCACCCUACGGGGGAAAGAUUCAUCGCUAAAGGAUUGGUCUAUGUCCUAUCAGCUUGUUGGCGGGGUAAGAGCCCACCAAGGCAAUGACGGGUAUCCGGCCUGAGAGGGUGAACGGACACACUGGAACUGAGACACGGUCCAGACUCCUACGGGAGGCAGCAGUAGGGAAUAUUGCUCAAUGGGCGCAAGCCUGAAGCAGCAACGCCGCGUGGAGGAUGAAGGUUUUAGGAUUGUAAACUCCUUUUGUGAGAGAAGAUAAUGACGGUAUCUCACGAAUA
Molecule: ribosomal RNA, 408 nt
Filed under: uncultured Helicobacter sp.
Lineage: Bacteria; Pseudomonadati; Campylobacterota; Epsilonproteobacteria; Campylobacterales; Helicobacteraceae
Description: bacterial SSU rRNA
Rfam family: Bacterial small subunit ribosomal RNA
Source: RNAcentral